RNAcentral lists this unclassified non-coding RNA (298 nucleotides) under Hevea brasiliensis (rubber tree). Lineage: Eukaryota; Viridiplantae; Streptophyta; Magnoliopsida; Malpighiales; Euphorbiaceae. The record is from RNAcentral.
UGGACAUGAUUUUCCUCUACAAAUUAUUGGUGAAAUUGAUUUAUACAAAUUUGAUCCUUGGGUUUUACCUAGUAAGGCGACAUUUGGUGAAAAAGAAUGGUAUUUCUUCAGUCCGAGGGAUAGGAAGUAUCCGAAUGGAUCUAGACCAAACAGAGUAGCUGGGUCUGGUUAUUGGAAAGCAACUGGAACUGAUAAAGUUAUUACUACAGACGGUAGAAAAGUCGGAAUCAAAAAGGCUUUAGUGUUUUACAUUGGUAAAGCACCUAAAGGAACUAAAACAAAUUGGAUUAUGCACGAA